This is a non-coding RNA of Trichonephila clavata, 73 nucleotides long. Lineage: Eukaryota; Metazoa; Arthropoda; Arachnida; Araneae; Nephilidae. The record is from the annotation of a GenBank genome assembly.
GUCCCUGUAGCGCUUUGGAUAGUGCGUUGAACUUCUAAUCCAAAGGUCAUGGGUUCGAAUCCCACCUGGGAUG